AGGGACAGUGGCACAGCAGGCAGGGCUGGGUGAGCAGCACAUCCAUCACCUGGACCAGCUCCAGCUCCCAGAGGCUGUCCUGGCCCCUCUCCCCCAGGAGCUAUGGGGAAUAACCUGAGCGUGCCAGAGGAAGCUGAGGAUGACAACACCUGCACAGUGAAGAGUUACCAGCCUCUCCCGGAGUCUCCCGAUGGUAUUACAAAUGGAUCUGUGGUGUUUGCUCAGAGCCCUCCCCUGGCAGUGAAUGGUGAAG
Molecule: long non-coding RNA, 253 nt
Filed under: Serinus canaria (Common canary)
Lineage: Eukaryota; Metazoa; Chordata; Aves; Passeriformes; Fringillidae
Description: lncRNA (ENSSCAG00000015446.1)
Source: RNAcentral